GCAAGUCGAGCGGAAACGAAGAGGUGCUUGCACCUCUGGCGUCGAGCGGCGGACGGGUGAGUAAUGCUUGGGAAUAUGCCUUAUGGUGGGGGACAACAGUUGGAAACGACUGCUAAUACCGCAUGAUGUCUACGGACCAAAGUGGGGGACCUUCGGGCCUCACGCCAUAAGAUUAGCCCAAGUGGGAUUAGCUAGUUGGUGAGGUAAUGGCUCACCAAGGCGACGAUCCCUAGCUGGUUUGAGAGGAUGAUCAGCCACACUGGGACUGAGACACGGCCCAGACUCCUACGGGAGGCAGCAGUGGGGAAUAUUGCACAAUGGGCGCAAGCCUGAUGCAGCCAUGCCGCGUGUGUGAAGAAGGCCUUCGGGUUGUAAAGCACUUUCAGUAAGGAGGAAAGGUUAAGUGUUAAUAGCACUUAGCUGUGACGUUACUUACAGAAGAAGCACCGGCUAACUCCGUGCCAGCAGCCGCGGUAAUACGGAGGGUGCGAGCGUUAAUCGGAAUUACUGGGCGUAAAGCGUACGCAGGCGGUUUGUUAAGCGAGAUGUGAAAGCCCCGGGCUCAACCUGGGAACUGCAUUUCGAACUGGCAAACUAGAGUGUGAUAGAGGGUGGUAGAAUUUCAGGUGUAGCGGUGAAAUGCGUAGAGAUCUGAAGGAAUACCGAUGGCGAAGGCAGCCACCUGGGUCAACACUGACGCUCAUGUACAAAAGCGUGGGGAG
Molecule: ribosomal RNA, 722 nt
Filed under: uncultured bacterium
Lineage: Bacteria
Description: bacterial SSU rRNA
Rfam family: Bacterial small subunit ribosomal RNA
Source: RNAcentral